GACGAACGCUGGCGGCGUGCCUAAUACAUGCAAGUCGAACGAGUGGCGGACGGGUGAGUAACACGUGGGAACCUACCCAUCAGAGGGGGCUAACACUUGGAAACGGUAGCUAAUACCGCAUACCAUCGGAUGUGCCCAGAUGGGCUGAGCUCGUAGGUGGGGUAAAGGCUCACCUCGGCGACGAUCCCUAGAUGGUCUGCGAGGAUGACCAGCAACACUGGAACUGAGACACGGUCCAGACUCCUACGGGAGGCAGCAGUGGGGAAUAGUGCACAUUGGGCGCAAGCCUGAUGCAGCCAUGCCGCGUGUAUGAAGAAGGCCUGCGGGUUGUAAAGUACUUUCAGCGAGGAGGCGUUACUCGCAGAAGAAGCACCGGCUAACUCCGUGCCAGCAGCCGCGGUAAUUC
Molecule: ribosomal RNA, 406 nt
Filed under: uncultured bacterium
Lineage: Bacteria
Description: partial 16S ribosomal RNA
Rfam family: Bacterial small subunit ribosomal RNA
Source: RNAcentral